RNAcentral lists this ribosomal RNA (734 nucleotides) under uncultured archaeon. RNAcentral describes it as "bacterial SSU rRNA". It matches the Rfam family "Archaeal small subunit ribosomal RNA", at positions 102 to 838 of the family's 1478-position model. The record is from RNAcentral.
GGACAACCUACCCUAGGUGGGGGAUAAUCUCGGGAAACUGAGGAUAAUACCCCAUAGAUCUAGGAUGCUGGAAUGCUUCUAGGUUCAAAACUCCGGUGCCUUAGGAUUGGUCUGCGGCCUAUCAGGCUGUAGUGGGUGUAACGGACCCACUAGCCCGUGACGGGUAUGGGCCUUGAGAGAGGGUGCCCAGAGAUGGACUCUGAGACAUGAGUCCAGGCCCUACGGGGCGCAGCAGUCGCGAAAACUUUGCAAUGGGGGAAACCCCGACAAGGGAAUUCCAAGUGCUAGCACUUUUUGUGUUAGCUGUUCUCCCGUCUAAAAAACAGGAGAAGUAAGGGGCGGGUAAGACGGGUGCCAGCCGCCGCGGUAAUACCCGCGCCCCAAGUGGUGGUCGAUAUUAUUGAGCCUAAAACGUCCGUAGCCGGUCUUUUAAAUCCUUGGGUAAAUCGGGCAGCUUAACUGUCCGAACUCCGGGGAGACUGAAAGACUUGGGACCGGGAGAGGUCAGAGGUACUUCUGGGGUAGGGGUAAAAUCCUGUAAUCCUGGAAGGACCACCGGUGGCGAAGGCGUCUGACUAGAACGGAUUCGACGGUGAGGGACGAAGCCCUGGGGCGCAAACGGGAUUAGAUACCCCGGUAGUCCAGGGUGUAAACGCUGCGGGCUUGGUGUUGGGGGUCCUUUGUGGGCGCCCAGUGCCGGAGAGAAGUUGUUAAGCCUGCUGCUUGGGGAGUAU